GAGGCCUACCAUGGUGGUAACGGGUAACGGGGUGUUAGGGCACGACACCGGAGAGGGAGCCUGAGAAACGGCUACCACAUCCAAGGAUGGCAGCAGGCGCGCAAAUUACCCAAUCCCGACACGGGGAGGUAGUGACAAUAAAUAACAAUACGGGGUUCUUUCGGAUCUCGUAAUUGGAAUGAGUACAAUUUAAAUCUCUUAACGAGGAACAAUUGGAGGGCAAGUCUGGUGCCAGCAGCCGCGGUAAUUCCAGCUCCAAUAGCGUAUAUUAAAGUUGUUGCAGUUAAAAAGCNNGUAGUUGAAUUUCGGGGUUAGUAGGUUGGUCAUGCCUCUGGUAUGUACUGAUCUCACUGAUUCCUCCUUCCUUAUGAACCGUAAUGCCAUUAAUUUGGUGUUGCGGGGAAUUUGGACUGUUACUUUGAAAAAAUUAGAGUGUUUAAAGCAGGCUAACGCUUGAAUACAUUAGCAUGGAAUAAUGAAAUAGGACGUUCGAUCUUAUUUUGUUGGUUUCUAGGAUUGACGUAAUGAUUAAUAGGGAUAGUUGGGGGCAUUAGUAUUCAAUUGUCAGAGGUGAAAUUCUUGGAUUUAUUGAAGACUAACUACUGCGAAAGCAUUUGCCAAGGAUGUUUUCAUUAAUCAAGAACGAAAGUUAGGGGAUCGAAGACGAUCAGAUACCGUCGUAGUCUUAACCAUAAACUAUGCCGACUAGG
Molecule: ribosomal RNA, 710 nt
Filed under: uncultured fungus
Lineage: Eukaryota; Fungi
Description: SSU rRNA
Rfam family: Eukaryotic small subunit ribosomal RNA
Source: RNAcentral